This 406-nucleotide ribosomal RNA is filed under the name uncultured bacterium. RNAcentral describes it as "partial 16S ribosomal RNA". It matches the Rfam family "Bacterial small subunit ribosomal RNA", at positions 30 to 526 of the family's 1533-position model. The record is from RNAcentral.
AUUGAACGCUGGCGGCAGGCCUAACACAUGCAAGUCGAGCGAGCGGCGGACGGGUGAGUAAUGUAUGGGGAUCUGCCCGAUAGAGGGGGCUAACUACUGGAAACGGUGGCUAAUACCGCAUAAUCUCGGAUGAACACAUACAGGAUUAGCUAGUAGGUGGGGUAUAGGCUCACAUAGGCGAAGAUCUCUAGCUGGUCUGAGAGGAUGAUCCGCCACACUGGGACUGAGACACGGCCCAGACUCCUACGGGAGGCAGCAGUGGGGAAUAUUGCACAAGGGGCGAAAGCCUUAUGCAGCCAUGCCGCGUGUAUGAAGAAGGCCUUAGGGUUGUAAAGUACUUUCAGCGGGGAUGCGUUACCCGCAGAAGAAGCACCGGCUAACUCCGUGCCAGCCUCCGCGGUAAUUC